UACCCGUAUAUUUUUCUGCCGAG
This 23-nucleotide microRNA is filed under the name Caenorhabditis briggsae. Its description in RNAcentral is "cbr-miR-55". Its record names the gene cbr-miR-55. The record is from miRBase by way of RNAcentral. Lineage: Eukaryota; Metazoa; Nematoda; Chromadorea; Rhabditida; Rhabditidae.